GGCUGCGUUCUGGAAGUAGGGCCCGAGGUCUGUCGGUGGGGUGGCUUCUGCAGCGUGUGGCCGUGUGACCCCACGGAGGUGACCUCCCAGAGCGGCUGAGGUUGAGAACCCAUUGAGCAGCUAGGCCCCAGUGUAUGCGCUGAUCCUAUGGCGGAGGCCCGUGGGAACCAAGGCGAGAGCUGUGUGAGCCUGGAGGACGUGUGCCUGCGUUUCACUGCAGAGGAGUGGGGUCUCCUCGAUGACACUCAGAAGCUCCUGUACCACAACGUGAUGCUGGAGAAUUUCUUGCUUGUGCUGUCCCUGGGACUUCCGAUUUCCAAAUCCUUCCCAGGAACUCGAGUUUAUCCAUCAUGGCCGUAUUUGCUCCAGAAAGAUAAACAUAUGACCUCGGGCCCAUCCAUCAAUAUUUAGAGAAGGAAUUGAGAAGACUUCAUAGAGGAAAUUAAAUUCUGCUGAGGAAGUGAAAGAUCUGUCUUCAUUUAUAUAAGGCGCCAGUAUUCUUCACAAGCUCUCCAGUAAAGCUCUGAUUUCCCAUUUAAAUGAGAAACCAUACAACUCUGUUUAGAAAUCUCUUCCCCUGAACAGUCUCCUAACUCUUUAGUGAGGGAGAAAGGUAGCAAUAAGGUCCAUUUAUAGAGCUCUCUGAUGGUCUGGCAUUACGGUAAACAAUGAGGUGCAUUAUUUUCUUCAUGUUUUCCCAGCAGCCUCCACAGUUAUUAGCUCUGUUUUAUAAGUCAAGAAAAUGAGACUCGGAAUGGUUCUGUGCCUUGUGGUCCUAUAACCAAAAUGCUGGGGAGCUACAGUUUGAACACAAUCUGAUUCUCAAACCUUAACUCUGAAAUGUUUCCCUAAUAAGGUGCAAUCUGUAUGCCGUCUGCUCCAUUGUCUGCACGUACAGGUCUGAGUUGUGGUUAGUGCUUAUUACUGUAGGGGAAUCACCACUACGAUCCACACGUGGGGAGGUUCCCGUGCUCAAAUGUCCUUUUGUGACCCUUUGUAUUCAGCCCCUGACAACUACUGCUUAGCUUUCUUGGCCCAAAUAUAACAUAAAGAUUAUAAAG
This is a long non-coding RNA of Mus musculus (house mouse), 1061 nucleotides long. RefSeq annotates it as RIKEN cDNA 1700020N01 gene. The transcript is spliced from 3 exons. NCBI's taxonomy places the organism in Eukaryota, Metazoa, Chordata, Mammalia, Rodentia, Muridae. The record is from RefSeq and is marked predicted.